ACGUAAGUGUGAGUGACUCCUCACUGCAGUCCAGGCAGCUGGGGGCUAUGAGGGGCUUCAGAAGUCCUCAUCCCCUGCCUGUAGGCCUGGCCAUACUGGACCCAUGAGAUCAGCCACCUGUCAGCUGGAACCUCGAGGUACUAUAGCCCUCCUCACUCAAGCCCUGGUCCCCUAACUCAGAGGUGAGGCGUUGGGCUGGAGGGGGCGAGCAGCCAGAUGAUUCCAGUGUACAACCAAUGAUGAGUAGCUGCUGGGCUAGAGGGGCCAGGGCCAUUUGAUACCAGGAUGUUGCACAGAAACCCCUGAAAAGCAAGUAGCAGCUAUCAGAAGGUUUGGUGACAAAGCUCCUCCUGUUGUAGCGCCUUCAGCAUGGACUCCACAUUCAACAGGCCCAGGAGCUGCUCCCUUUCGGAUGAGCUCCAAGGCCUUAAGAGAGCUUCUCUGGUUUCCGUGAAUCCCUCUGAACGAUGGUCCUGAGCAAACCUAUGACCAUCUGCUCCAAAUAACUCAGGGGAAGUCAAAGCUUUCCAUGUGGAAGGUGACUGAAACCACGUACACAGACUACUGCCACAUUCCUGACCUUAAGGAGCUUGGAAAUGAUUCCAAACACGAACAUAAGCCUUGCUACAUGAGUGACAUGUUGGGCCAUGACAGGAACUUGGAGUGUAACCCUGCACCCCUUGAGAAUGUGACAUCACACCUCAUCAAAUCCUCUGUGUGAGCUACUGAACUCAACCACGGAACUUCAAACUAAGUCAAAACCUAAGGGUUUGACAGACACUUUGAGACCUUGGGCUGUGGCAGUCAGCCCCUCUUCGACAGGGCCAUACCCUGCCAGUCUUUUAACUUGGACACCUCGCCCGACAACACCCUGCCGCCCUCUCACAUUGAGGGACCCUAUGUGCCUUUGUGAAGCUCCGUUGUGUUGGACGUCUCUCCCAAGAGCUGUUCUUAUAACAGAGACAUACCACACUUUAAUGAGCCUUUGCUUUCCAGAGAGGUCUGCUGCCAUCCUAAUGGAGCAAGUAGACUUAGUAACUUUGGAACUCACUCACUCUGUGACUAAUACACCCUGUCUACCCAGCACAUUCCCCAUGAGAUUUGUUCAUGUUCUCCCCUCCUUAAGCAUUGUGAACCUAAGAAAAAUGUCAUCUUUGUAGGGGAAUAAACCGUGUGAUGGGUGAAA
Long non-coding RNA from Cebus imitator (Panamanian white-faced capuchin), 1186 nucleotides. RefSeq lists it as uncharacterized. The transcript is spliced from 3 exons. The record is from RefSeq and is a predicted model, not a curated record. NCBI's taxonomy places the organism in Eukaryota, Metazoa, Chordata, Mammalia, Primates, Cebidae.